This 5108-nucleotide long non-coding RNA is filed under the name Podarcis muralis (Common wall lizard). RNAcentral describes it as "lncRNA (ENSPMRG00000004425.1)". The record is from RNAcentral. Lineage: Eukaryota; Metazoa; Chordata; Lepidosauria; Squamata; Lacertidae.
CCUUAUUAGUUGGUUCCCCAUAAACUGGAAGAUACCUUAUUUACUCGAAUGUAAUGCACACCUGUUUUGGCCGAAUUAUGUCAUGAAAAUUAGGGUGUGCAUUAGAUUUGAUAGUGUGUUAGUUUCGAUUAUUGAAACACACCGCUGACAUACCAAAUACUUUUUGGGUUUCAAAGUUUUGAAAACCGAGGCGUGCAUUAGAUUCACGUAAAUACGAUAACUCCUGGAGAAAAUUAAAAGAAGAGAAUCCACAGAACUUGAAGGCAAUCCGUGAGAGUUCUGGUGCCUUUUGGAUCUCAGUUUCCUUUUGCCUUGUGCAUAGAAAAUCUUCCCCUGUCAGACUUAAAUGAAUGAGGAGGAAAUAACCUUCUGGGAAAUGAAGCUUCCAAGCUAGAAUAGAAACUUAGGAAAAUCACCUUCUCCCAGGAAGGAGACUGGCACAUUAGAAAGUGUCUCUCACACAACAGUGAGAGGGGAAACAGGCGAUCCCGCAGGGUUAUUAGCGUGGAACUUGCCAAAAUAAAUGGAGCAGAGAAGGCAAGAUCACUCUUGACUCAAGCAAAACUUUAUAGACGCCAGCAGUGAUGUUACAUGAUGCUCCUGUUGAGCCAAUUUAUUGGGAGCAGUGGCUCUGCAGGAAUGCUCUGUCAUCCUCCACAACACGGCGUCCCUCAUACUCUGAGGUGGGGCAGAAUGAAGUUGUUGCCCAGAAGAGCGUCCCUGUUGAAAAAGAAACCAACUGCUGGAGUUAAAGGUCAAGCGGUGUCGCAACAGCUGGGAUUCCAGAAGUUGGCCAACAGCCUUCUGUCUCCUACCUAGGCAGGGCUGAAGGCAAGCCCUUCCAUUGAGACCAUUGUCACUGGAAGCCCCUUCAGUCUACUGCAAGGCGGUUCUUUAGAGGGCAGAGACUGUUCCGCCCUGAAACCUUUACAUUUCCACAGCGUAGGUGUUAUGUACUGAGCUGAAUCCUAGAACAAUAGGAUCCAGAAUGCAGCAGUCUGAUUGGUCUGCAGGAGCCACCCAAUCCAGCUCCAGGUGGAAGUGAAUCAGCGACCUGAUUGGCCUGCAGGAGCAGCCAAUCAGGCUCCUGGAUGAAGUGAAUCAGCAACCUGAUUAGUCUGCAGGAGCAGCCAAUCAGGCUUCUGGAGGAAGUGAAUGCACAACCUGAUUGGCCUACAGGAGCAGCCCGGAAGUAGCCAAUCACACGGGGCCCAUUGUGUAAACAAUGUAUAUAUAGCUAGAUGUUUUGGGGAAAGUUUCAUUCAUUGCUACUACGAGCUGGAUAAAGAACAUGAAAUUCACACUCGACUCUGAGUAUAUUUCAGUAACGAUUGCAUAGAAAUAGUGUAACAAUUGAAGCCGUGUAUUUCCAUAGUUACAGGUCGUUACAGGUAGGUAGCCAUGUUGGUGUGCCAUAGUCAAAACAAAAUAAAAAAUUCCUUCCAGUAGCACCUUAGAGACCAACUAAGUUUGUUCUUGGUAUGAGCUUUUGUGUCCAUGCACACUUCUUCAGAUACACUGAAACAGAAGUCACCAGACCCUUAAAUAUAGUGAAAGGGUGGGGAGAAGUAUUACUCAGAAGGGGGGUGGGAAUGGGUGAUUGGCUGAUAGGUGUGGUAAACUUGUUAACGACUGCAAUUGGUCUUACAGGAAAAAGCAAGGGGUGAGAUGGCUAAAAAUAGCUUUAUCAUGUAUAAUGAGAUAAGAAUCUAAUGUCUCUAUUCAGACCAGGUCUCUCCAUGGCUUUAAGUUUGGUAAUAAGUUACAAUUCAGCAACUUCUCUUUCCAGUCUUUUUCUGAAAUUCUUUUGUAAUAAGACAGCUACUUUGAGAUCUUGCAUAGAAUGUCCUGGGAGAUUGAAGUGUUCUCCUACUGGUUUCUCUGUCUUGUAAUUCCUGAUGCGAGAUUUACCGGUAUGUCCAUUUAUCCUUUGGCGUAGGGUUUGGCCUGUUUGUCCAAUAUAGAGGGCUGAAGGGCACUGUUGGCAUUUGAUGGCAUACACAAUGUUAGGAGAUUAAAUAGUCCUGAGAUGGUAUGUUGGUGUUGUUGGGGCCAGUAAUGGUGUUGUCCGGGUGUAUGUGGCAGCAAAGUUGGCAUCUGGGUUUAUUGCAGGCUCUGGUACCAGUGUCCAUGUUAUGUCUGUAUUGUUGUAUUAUUGUGGGUGAGGAGUUGUUUAAGAUUGGGUUCCCACCACCCUUCUGAGUAAUACCCCUCCCCACCCUCUCACUAUAUAUAAGGGUCUGGUGACUUCUGUUUCAGUGUAUCUGAAGAAGUGUGCAUGCACACGAAAGCUCAUACCAAUAACAAACUUAGUUGGUCUCUAAGGUGCUACUAACUUGGGACGUGGGUGGCACUGUGGGUUAAACCACAGAACCUAGGACUUGCCGAUCAGAAGGUCGGUGGUUCGAAUCCCCGCAACAGGGUGAGCUCUCGUUGCUCGGUCCCUGCUCCUGCCCACCUAGCAGUUCGAAAGCACGUCAAAGUACAAGUAGAUAAAUAGGUACCGUUCCAGCGGGAAGGUAAACAGAUUUUCCGUGCCCUGCUCUGGUUCGCCAGAAGUGGCUUAGUCAUGCUGGCCACAUGACCCGGAAGCUGUACGCCGGCUCCUUUGGCCAAUAAAGCGAGAUGAGUGCCGAAACCCCAGAGUCGGUCACGACUAGACCUAAUGGUCAGGGGUCCCUUUACCCUUUAGCUGUUAAGGUACUACUGGAAGGAAUUUUUUUAUUUCCAUAGUGUUACCAUUAGGAGGGGCAAAGUAUGGUAAGAUGCCAUCGAUCUGUGACAUCGAUCUGUCUCCUGAUGUUUUCCACUGUUAGUUAAAUGUGGGGUGACUCAAACUGGAUCACGGAAGAGGUGCCUUUUUUUAUUUUAGCGUGUACACGCACACGCAAACACAUGCUUCCCUUGCCAUGCAAUUUCCCCCAAUUUGAAUUCCUCUUCUGAAGUUAUUUGCAAAAAAUGAAUAAACACAUCACCCACUCAGACACCAUUCCCAGCUGCAGGUUUGCUACUCCCAACAGCUGGAUUACAGCCUAUUGAUUUCUGUUGAGACAGACUGACUGGAACCCCUUCAUAAUCCUAGUUCUUCCUGUCAACCUGUGUUGGCAGGGCUCUCCAAGGUCAGAUCGUAGUGAGGGUGCGUGUGGUGGAAUGCUCUUCCAUAAUUGCCCCUGUCCUUUUGCAAAGAAAACUAGGAUUUCUAGGAGAUGGGUUCUAGCUUGUCUUCUCCCACUGACACACUGGUUUUCUACGUGCAAGCAUGUUUUAUUUUUAAAGAUCAUUUUCAUUCAGAUUACCAGAAUGAGGAGCAUUAAAUUAUGUGAACCACCUGAUGCAUUGCAGGCAAGGCGACACAGAUUUACCACUUCAUGAGAACUAGGCCACCGUGACAAUCCUGUCAGAGGUCUAAAAAUAAAAAGGGGCUACACAUGUCAGAAUCAUUCUAACUGGUUUCAUAGGCGUUCCGUUUAGAAUUCAUGACUGAGACGUUCUGAUUUAGAGGCCCUUAUAUGCAACUUCCUUUAAAAAACCGCUUUGUCAUCCGAAAGAGCUGAUAUAUAACUCUGGUGGUGAUGAUGAGGAAGUCAAGUGGCUGAGAAUGCUGAUAGCAAGGGACUUUUUACAAACCCAGCUGUUCUGCAUUAGCUGGGAGAUUAGAUGUCAGCCUGAGCUCUUAGUGUCAUCAGCCCAGUCCUGUGAAAUAUUUUAUUUCAUCUCUGUUGUGAGAAUUAUAAGGUCUAAGAUAUAAAAUAAAUGUACCAGGCAAACACAUACAUAAAUACAUAAAUCGCAUGUCUGAAACAGUACAGGAAAAAAGUCCUGAAACCAUUUUGUCUCUCCCAAAUUGACCUCAAAUGUUUCUCUGCAAGAACAAAUGGGGAAACCUCCCUAUUGUCUCUUUGCUCACAAAUCCUGUCUUAAGGGCCUAUCUGUGCAUGAAUAGGGUAAGCCCGUGACCUGGACGCAGGAAUUAAGUAUUUAUUGUCACAAAAGAAUGGCCAGGCUCUCCAGGUAAACCCAUCAACAGGUUUCCUGCCAGACAGGAUUUCUGCUGUAGACUGCCCCUUCAGUGAUGUAUGCAUGUUGUAUUGGGGGGUGGUCUUGGGCUCCAGGGUGGGCAAUUUCAAAAGUUUAUAUAAGGGCUUGCACAAUUGUUCUGGGUCACCUCCUCCCUCCCUGCGUGGGGUGCGUGGGGACCCUGUUGCAACAAUUUAAUAAAGAUCAGGCUUACUAGCUGCUUUGCUUCUCAAUACAGUGGUACCUCGGGUUACAUACGCUUCAGGUUACAGACGCUUCAAGUUACAGACUCCGCUAACCCAGAAAUAGUACCUCGGGUUAAGAACUUUGCUUCAGGAUGAGAACAGAAAUCGUGCUCCGGCAGCGCGGCAGCAGCAGGAGGCCCCAUUAGCUAAAGUGGUGCUUCAGGUUAAGAACAGUUUCAGGUUAAGAAUGGACCUCCGGAAUGAAUUAAGUACGUAACCAGAGGUACCACUGUAUGUCCUUAUGGUGGGAUUUCCUCCCUUACAGCUUUUCAGAAAGGGAAACAGAAGACUGGUGACUGGGAGUGGCCGCCAGGACCACAUAACACUGGUCCUGAGAGAUCUGCAUUGGCUCCCAGUACGUUUCCGAGCACAAUUCAAAGUGUUGGUGUUGACCUUUAAAGCCCUAAACGGCCUCGGUCCAGUAUACCUGAUCUCUGAUCUCGUUUUUUGACAGAAUUACAACCCUGGUAGAUGAAGGGAACGCAGUGGAUGUAGCCUACCUUGAUUUCAGCAAGGCAUUUGACAAGGUGCCCCAUGAUAUUCUUGUAAAGAAGCUGGUAAAAUGCGGACUUGACUAUGCUACCACUCAGUGGAUUUGUAACUGGCUGACUGACAGAACCCAAAGGGUGCUCAUCAAUGGUUCCUCUUCAUCCUGGAGAAGAGUGACUAGUGGGGUGCCACAGGGUUCUGUCUUGGGCCCGGUCUUAUUCAACAUCUUUAUCAACGACUUGGAUGAUGGACUCAAGGGCAUCCUGAUCAAAUUUGCAGAUGACACCAAACUGGGAGGGGUGGCUAACACCCCAGAGGACAGGAUCACACUUCAAAACGACCUUGACAGAUUAGAGA